CCUACGGGAGGCAGCAGUGAGGAAUAUUGGUCAAUGGGCGGGAGCCUGAACCAGCCAAGCCGCGUGAGGGAAGAAGGUACAGCGUAUCGUAAACCUCUUUUGUCAGGGAACAAAGGCGGGGACUAGUCCUCGGGUGAGGGUACCUGAAGAAAAAGCAUCGGCUAACUCCGUGCCAGCAGCCGCGGUAAUACGGAGGAUGCGAGCGUUAUCCGGAUUUAUUGGGUUUAACGGGUGCGCAGGCGGACUGUUAAGUCAGCGGUAAAAGGUCGGGGCUCAACCCCGGCGAGCCGUUGAAACUGGUGGGCUAGAGUGGGAGAGAAGUACGCGGAAUGCGCGGUGUAGCGGUGAAAUGCUUAGAUAUCGCGCAGAACCACGAUUGCGAAGGCAGCGUACCGGCGCCACACUGACGCUGAGGCACGAAAGCGUGGGUAUCGAACAGGAUUAGAUACCCUUGUAGUC
This 459-nucleotide ribosomal RNA is filed under the name uncultured bacterium. RNAcentral describes it as "partial 16S ribosomal RNA". It matches the Rfam family "Bacterial small subunit ribosomal RNA", at positions 338 to 795 of the family's 1533-position model. The record is from RNAcentral.